CAACGGUCCAUCUAGCCCAGUAUCCUGUCUUCAGACAGUGGCCAGUGCCAGGUGCCCCAGAGGGAAUGAACAAAACAGAUGGGGCGACCAGAUCUGCACACAGUAUUCAAGAUGUGGGCAUACCGUGGAUUUACAGAGAGAUUGCUAAUUGUGUGGAUGCUGGAAGAUUUGGGAGACGAUGCACUCCCAUGUGCUGUUUUUGC
Molecule: long non-coding RNA, 203 nt
Organism: Gopherus flavomarginatus (Mexican gopher tortoise)
Lineage: Eukaryota; Metazoa; Chordata; Testudines; Testudinidae
Exons: 3
Source: RefSeq, a predicted model, not a curated record